CACCGCUCCUCGCUACUACUACGAUUCAGUGGUUUAGUGAGGUCGUUGGAUUGGUGUCGUUGUAGUGGCUUUGCCGUUUUACUGAUGCUGAGAAAAUGACCUAAUUUGACUAUUUAGACGAAAUAAAAGUUUUAAAAGGGUUUCCGUAGGUGAACCUGCGGAAG
RNAcentral lists this non-coding RNA (164 nucleotides) under Schistosoma mattheei. RNAcentral describes it as "Eukaryotic small subunit ribosomal RNA". It matches the Rfam family "Eukaryotic small subunit ribosomal RNA", at positions 1667 to 1823 of the family's 1831-position model. The record is from Rfam by way of RNAcentral. Lineage: Eukaryota; Metazoa; Platyhelminthes; Trematoda; Strigeidida; Schistosomatidae.